GACAGCGCAAACCGAGGAUCACUCAGCCAAGCCGAGACACCCACUGACAGGUUUCGGCUUGCCGGAGGCCGUGCUCAUACUUCGAAGCACAGCCGGCCACUGUGGCAAGUGCGCGAGCGACGCGAACUUCAGCGAAACCGCGCGCACAGUGCCUAAACUGCAUUUAAUACGCACACUGGGGCUUCGCUGACCCAAAUGGAGGUGAGAACAAUGUUUGGCACAGAUCAUAGAUAAUCGUGCUCACUUCCGGGGGUGUCGGGGUGUCUCCGGAUCACCGGAAGGUGAUCGGAAUUCCAAAC
RNAcentral lists this long non-coding RNA (299 nucleotides) under Ananas comosus (pineapple). Its description in RNAcentral is "long non-coding RNA (ACOM_LNC036939)". The record is from RNAcentral. Lineage: Eukaryota; Viridiplantae; Streptophyta; Magnoliopsida; Poales; Bromeliaceae.